CUCCCCCAGCCUCGCUGCCGCCUUACAGUUUGAUCUCAGACUGCUGUGCUAGCAAUCAGCGAGACUCCGUGGGCGUAGGACCCUCCGAGCCAGGUGCGGGAUAUAAUCUCGUGGUGCGCCAUUUUUUAAGCCGGUCGGAAAAGCGCAGUAUUCAAGUGGGAGUGACCCGAUUUUCCAGGAACCCAUCUUCCGCAAAGCCUACCUUCUGGAGAAAAGAUUUCAGGAAACAGCAAGAUUAUAGACUCCUGCGCAUUCUCAUCUGAGCUUUAUGGGAUGGGAGGGAUCACUGGAGCAUCCUAGAGAAGGCUUGGGCUGGUGCUCAGCAAAGUGGGAACUGCUUCACACUGGGGCCAUAAAACAAUGAAUAAUGGACAAGAAGAAGCCUGUAAUGUGAAGAUUUUAGGAAAUUCAGGAUCAAAUUUCUUUUGGUUUGCAGGUCUGCAGACCAGAGUCACCAAUGGGCCACUGGUUUACAGUCUCUGAUAAUGAGAGAUGGAACAGAAAAUUCCUCUAGGAAACUGAGAUGAGAUGUUAAUGAGCGCUAAGUUGAUCUCUGAGCUUCACCGCAGGCUGGGAAAAACCAUGACACAGGAGUUAUUUUUCAUGUUGCAGACUUGCUUCUUGUCAGAGGGAUCUUACAAAGAUGACCUUAGUGAUGAAGACAUUGUGAAUUAAAAUCAUUUGUUCUGAAAGGUGGGACCAAGAUGUAAGCUUCAGGAAACGUUGCCUCAUCUACUUUCAAGGUGGGGCUUUCUCAUUAAAGUGCCUAUACGAUGUUUCUCCUUCCCAG
This 790-nucleotide long non-coding RNA is filed under the name Homo sapiens (human). The record is from RNAcentral. Lineage: Eukaryota; Metazoa; Chordata; Mammalia; Primates; Hominidae.